UCAAACUUGGUCAUUUAGAGGAAGUAAAAGUCGUAACAAGGUUUCCGUAGGUGAACCUGCGGAAGGAUCAUUAGUGAAUCGCCGUCGUCGGCCUCGGUCGACGCGCCCGAAGUAGCUCCCGCCAAGGGUCGGCCAAAAGGGCUUCACUCAUCCUCAACACCUGUGAACCGUUGUAGCGCCUCUCUGGAGGUCUACGCCUUUUCUUUUUUACCAAACUACCGUAGUCGAAGAUGUCGUUUGAUCGUAAACAAAUAAAACUUUCAACAACGGAUCUCUUGGCUCUCGCAUCGAUGAAGAACGCAGC
RNAcentral lists this unclassified non-coding RNA (304 nucleotides) under uncultured fungus. RNAcentral's name for it is "partial contains small subunit ribosomal RNA, internal transcribed spacer 1, and 5.8S ribosomal RNA". The stretch from base 1 to 73 matches the Rfam family "Eukaryotic small subunit ribosomal RNA", at positions 1759 to 1831 of the family's 1831-position model. Lineage: Eukaryota; Fungi. The record is from RNAcentral.